UACGGAGGGUGCAAGCGUUAUCCGGAUUCACUGGGUUUAAAGGGAGCGUAGGUGGCUUUGUAAGUCAGUGGUGAAAUAUUGCGGCUCAACCGCAAAACUGCCAUUGAUACUGCUUAGCUUGAAUCACGUCGAGGUGGAUGGAAUAAUACAUGUAGCGGUGAAAUGCUUAGAUAUGUAUUAGAACUCCGAUUGCGAAGGCAGUUCACUAGGCGUGUAUUGACACUGAGGCUCGAAAGCGUGGGGAUCAAACAGG
This 253-nucleotide ribosomal RNA is filed under the name uncultured bacterium. Its description in RNAcentral is "partial 16S ribosomal RNA". It matches the Rfam family "Bacterial small subunit ribosomal RNA", at positions 524 to 776 of the family's 1533-position model. The record is from RNAcentral.